This 253-nucleotide ribosomal RNA is filed under the name uncultured bacterium. RNAcentral describes it as "partial 16S ribosomal RNA". It matches the Rfam family "Bacterial small subunit ribosomal RNA", at positions 524 to 776 of the family's 1533-position model. The record is from RNAcentral.
UACGAAGGGUGCAAGCGUUACUCGGAAUUACUGGGCGUAAAGGGUGCGUAGGUGGUUGUUUAAGUCUGCUGUGAAAGCCCCGGGCUCAACCUGGGAAUGGCAGUGGAUACUGGACAGCUAGAGUGCGGUAGAGGGUAGUGGAAUUCCCGGUGUAGCAGUGAAAUGCGUAGAUAUCGGAAGGAACAUCAGUGGCGAAAGCGACUUCCUGGACCAAUACUGACGCUCAUGUGCGAAAGCGUGGGGAGCAAACAGG